This 505-nucleotide ribosomal RNA is filed under the name Oncomelania hupensis hupensis. RNAcentral describes it as "partial 16S large subunit ribosomal RNA". It matches the Rfam family "Bacterial large subunit ribosomal RNA", at positions 1817 to 2597 of the family's 2925-position model. Lineage: Eukaryota; Metazoa; Mollusca; Gastropoda; Littorinimorpha; Pomatiopsidae. The record is from RNAcentral.
GGCUCUUUGUGAUUUAUAUAUAAAGAGUCGGGCCUGCCCAGUGAUGUAUUUUUAACGGCCGCGGUACUCUGACCGUGCGAAGGUAGCAUAAUCAUUUGCCCUAUAAUUGAGGGCUAGUAUGAAUGGUUUGACAUGAGCAUAACUGUCUCCUUAAAAUUUUAUAAAAUUUGGUUUUUAGGUGAAGAAACCUAAAUUAAAUUGAAAGACAAGAAGACCCUAUCGAGCUUUAGAAUAAUUAAUUAAAAAAUAUAAAUAAAACAAUUAAUUUUAAUUAAAAACUUUGGUUGGGGCGACUGAGGAACAUAUAAAGCUUCCUUAAUUAAACAAUGCUGAUAAGCAAUGAUCCAGGAAAUCUGAUUAAAAAAAUUAGUUACCGUAGGGAUAACAGCAUAAUCUUUUUUGAGAGCUCUUAUCGAAAAAAAGGUUUGUGACCUCGAUGUUGGACUAGGAUAUCCUAAAGAUGUAGAAGUCUUUAAUGGUUGCUCUGUUCGAGCAUAAAAAUCCU